This 475-nucleotide ribosomal RNA is filed under the name uncultured bacterium. Its description in RNAcentral is "bacterial SSU rRNA". It matches the Rfam family "Bacterial small subunit ribosomal RNA", at positions 74 to 545 of the family's 1533-position model. The record is from RNAcentral.
AUUGAGCAAUCGAGAGGCACGUUAGUGGCGAAAGGGUGAGUAAUGCAUAGAUAACGUACCCCGAACUCUGGGAUAGCUGCGGGACUUCGGUUCCUUUGCGAAAGUGCAGAUAAUACCAGAUGAGAUCUUAGUGUCGAAUGGCACAGAGAUCAAAGGUUUCGGCCGGUUUGGGAGCGGUCUAUGUCGUAUCAGCUUGUUGGUGAGGUAACGGCUCACCAAGGCUUCGACGCGUAGCGGGACUGAGAGGUUGACCCGCCACAUCGGGACUGAGACACUGCCCGGACCUCCACGGAGGGCUGCAGUAACGAAUCUUGCGCAAUGGGCGAAAGCCUGACGCAGCAACGCCGUGUGUAGGACGAAGCCCCUCGGGGUGUAAACUACUGUCAGAGUGAAGAAAGAUCUGAUCGAUCUCAAAGGAAGCACCGGCUAACUCCGUGCCAGCAGCCGCGGUAAUACGGAGGGUGCAAGCGUUGUU